UUUAAUUAACCUUUUGAAAUUGUUAAGUUUUAUUGAUAAUUUUACCGUCGCGUCGUAACGCAUUAUACUUUGAUACAUUUACAAGCUUUUAAUUCAAUUUCUAAACCUCUGCGUUUCCAUAAUGCAAAUAAUAACUUACUGCAAGCUGACCAAUGUUAUAUUAGCUGUCGUGUAUUACAACCGAAACACUUUAAACCCACAGAAAUGUCUAAAGUAGCGUUUGGACCGCGAAUAAUGUUAUAUUAGGUCGUUUACAACCGGAAAACUUCAAGCCCUUAGCUAAUGGAAAUAUCUGUCCAUAGUCCGCCCGGUUAGGAGUA
Molecule: non-coding RNA, 320 nt
Organism: Cinara cedri
Lineage: Eukaryota; Metazoa; Arthropoda; Insecta; Hemiptera; Aphididae
Source: the annotation of a GenBank genome assembly